Molecule: ribosomal RNA, 462 nt
Filed under: uncultured bacterium
Lineage: Bacteria
Description: partial 16S ribosomal RNA
Rfam family: Bacterial small subunit ribosomal RNA
Source: RNAcentral
GACGAACGCUGGCGGCGUGCUUAACACAUGCAAGUCGAACGGAAAGGCCCUUCGGGGUACUCGAGUGGCGAACGGGUGAGUAACACGUGGGUGAUCUGCCCUGCACUUUGGGAUAAGCCUGGGAAACUGGGUCUAAUACCGAAUAGGACCACGCGCUUCAUGGUGUGUGGUGGAAAGCUUUUGCGGUGUGGGAUGGGCCCGCGACCUAUCAGCUUGUUGGUGGGGUAAUGGCCUACCAAGGCGACGACGGGUAACCGGCCCGAGAGGGUGACCGGCCACACUGGGACUGCGAUACGACCCAGACUCCUCCGGGAGGCAGCAGUGGGGAAUAUUGCACAAUGGGCGCAAGCCUUAUGCAGCGACGCCGCGUGAGGGAUGACGGCCUUCGGGUUGUAAACCUCUUUCACUAGGAACGAAGCGCAAGUGACGGUACCUAUAGAAGAAGCACCGGCCAACUACGUG